Molecule: long non-coding RNA, 345 nt
Organism: Sapajus apella (tufted capuchin)
Lineage: Eukaryota; Metazoa; Chordata; Mammalia; Primates; Cebidae
Exons: 2
Source: RefSeq, a predicted model, not a curated record
GACAAGGAAGGAGCAACUGACUGUGAGCCUUCAACAAGCUACUCCCAUUUUCUGGCUCUUUAGUCUCCUCAUUUGUAAAAUGAGGGGGCUGGAGUAAGUAAGCUCUAUAAGGCUCUCAGCUGUGACAUCUAUGCAUAAUCACAGAAGAUCGAAGUGUACAGAACACCAUGGAAACUGAAGAGAGAUUUUGAAAGGAGGCUUUAAGAGGUCAUGCGCAUCCAAUGUUGCAGAGGUGUCAGAGACUGAGGACUUAAAUGAAGCCACUGAUUAGCAAUUUAAAGAUCCUUUCCAAGAGAUAGAAUGUUCCCUGUCAUCCAGAGGUGGAGAGAACAUUUCCUGCCGAGC